UACACACUUCACACCACUCACCAUAUCACAUACCCUCCCCGAUGUCCAUAACCCAACCACCCUCUCUACACCACCCCCCUGCCAGCAACCCUCUUUUUGAUUUUUGAGAUUGAGUCUCUUAUGGUUUGUCUCCAUCCCAAUCCCAUCUUUUUCACUUUUUGCUUC
Mustela erminea (ermine) is the source of this 165-nucleotide long non-coding RNA. RefSeq lists it as uncharacterized. NCBI's taxonomy places the organism in Eukaryota, Metazoa, Chordata, Mammalia, Carnivora, Mustelidae. The record is from RefSeq and is a predicted model, not a curated record. The transcript is spliced from 3 exons.